Molecule: ribosomal RNA, 253 nt
Filed under: uncultured bacterium
Lineage: Bacteria
Description: partial 16S ribosomal RNA
Rfam family: Archaeal small subunit ribosomal RNA
Source: RNAcentral
UACCCGCAGCACAAGUGGUGGUCAUUAUUAUUGGGCCUAAAGCGUCCGUAGCUGGCGUGUUAGAUGCCUGGGUAAAUCGAUGCGCUCAACGCAUCGAACUCCGGGUAGACCGGCAGGCUUGGGACCGGGAGAGAUGUGAGCUACUCGAGGGGUAGGGGUAAAAUCCUGUAAUCCUUCGGGGAGGACCAGUGGCGAAGGCGUCACAUUAGAACGGCUCCGACAGUGAGGGACGAAGCCCUGGGGCGCAAACCGG